AGGACGAACGCUGGCGGCGUGCUUAACACAUGCAAGUCGAGCGGAAAGGCCCUUCGGGGUACUCGAGCGGCGAACGGGUGAGUAACACGUGAGUAACCUGCCCUGGACUUUGGGAUAACCCUCGGAAACGGGGGCUAAUACCGAAUAUGACCACUGACUGCAUGGUUGGUGGUGGAAAGUUUUUUCGGUCUGGGAUGGGCUCGCGGCCUAUCAGCUUGUUGGUGGGGUGAUGGCCUACCAAGGCGACGACGGGUA
RNAcentral lists this ribosomal RNA (255 nucleotides) under uncultured bacterium. RNAcentral describes it as "partial small subunit ribosomal RNA". It matches the Rfam family "Bacterial small subunit ribosomal RNA", at positions 26 to 285 of the family's 1533-position model. The record is from RNAcentral.